UACGUAGGGGGCAAGCGUUGUCCGGAUUUAUUGGGCGUAAAGAGCGUGUAGGCGGCCAGGUAGGUCUGCUGUGAAAACUCGAGGCUCAACCUCGAGAUGUCGGCGGAAACCAUCUGGCUAGAGUCCGGAAGAGGAGAAUGGAAUUCCCGGUGUAGCGGUGAAAUGCGCAGAUAUCGGGAAGAACACCCGUGGCGAAGGCGGUUCUCUGGGCCUGUUCUGACGCUGAGGUGCGAAAGCUGGGGGAGCAAACAGG
Molecule: ribosomal RNA, 253 nt
Filed under: uncultured bacterium
Lineage: Bacteria
Description: partial 16S ribosomal RNA
Rfam family: Bacterial small subunit ribosomal RNA
Source: RNAcentral